Molecule: ribosomal RNA, 1323 nt
Filed under: metagenome
Description: bacterial SSU rRNA
Rfam family: Bacterial small subunit ribosomal RNA
Source: RNAcentral
AGAGUUUGAUCAUGGCUCAGAUUGAACGCUGGCGGCACGCCUAACACAUGCAAGUCGAGCGGCAACAGGUGUAGUAGCAAUACUACAUGCUGGCGAGCGGCGGACGGGUGAGGAACACGUAGGAACUUGCCCUUUAGAGUGGGAUAACCAAGGGAAACUUUGGCUAAUACCGCAUACACUCGAGAGAGGAAAGCUGCCGCAAGGUAGCGCUAGAGGAGAGGCCUGCGUCUGAUUAGCUAGUUGGUGGGGUAAGAGCCUGCCGAGGCGAUGAUCAGUAACUGGUCUGAGAGGACGACCAGUCACACUGGGACUGAGACACGGCCCAGACUCCUACGGGAGGCAGCAGUGGGGAAUCUUGGACAAUGGGGGCAACCCUGAUCCAGCGAUGCCGCGUGAGUGAAGAAGGCCUUCGGGUCGUAAAGCUCUUUAGGUUGGGAAGAAGUGUGUGAGAGGAAAUGCUCAUAUAUUGACGGUACCGACAGAAUAAGCACCGGCAAACUCUGUGCCAGCAGCCGCGGUAAUACAGAGGGUGCGAGCGUUAAUCGGAAUUACUGGGCGUAAAGGGUGCGUAGGUUGUUGUAUGUGGGUUGUGUGAAAGCCCCGGGCUUAACCUGGGAAGUGCAUAGCAGACUAUACGACUAGAGUACAAGAGAGGGUAGUGGAAUUUCCGGUGUAGCGGUGAAAUGCGUAGAUAUCGGAAGGAACGUCAAUGGCGAAGGCAGCUACCUGGCUUGAUACUGACACUGAGGCACGAAAGCGUGGGGGGCGAACGGGAUUAGAUACCCUGGUAGUCCACGCUGUAAACGAUGAGGACUAAAUGUUGGGAGGGGAACCUUUCAGUAUUGAAGCUAACGCGAUAAGUCUUCUGCCUGGGAAGUACGGCCGCAAGGUUGAAACUCAAAUGAAUUGACGGGGGCCCGCACAAGCGGUGGAGCAUGUGGUUUAAUUCGAUGCAACGCGAAGAACCUUACCUACCCUUGACAUCCUGCGAAUCCGAAUGAGAGUUUGGAGUGCCGAAAGGAGCGCAGAGACAGGUGCUGCAUGGCUGUCGUCAGCUCGUGUUGUGAGAUGUUGGGUUAAGUCCCGUAACGAGCGCAACCCUUGUCCUUAGUUACCAUCAAGUAAAGUUGGGGACUCUAAGGAGACUGCCGGUGAUGAACCGGAGGAAGGCGGGGACGACGUCAAGUCAUCAUGGCCUUUAUGGGUAGGGCUACACACGUGCUACAAUGGGUCGUACAGAGGGUAGCCAACCCGCGAGGGGGAGCCAAUCUCAAAAAGCGACUCGUAGUCCGGAUUGAAGUCUGCAAUUCGACUUCAUGAAGU